ACCCUCCCAUUCCCUUUCCUCGGAUCAAAGCACUGCUCUGGGUGGUUGUAAAAGGAGGAAAAGAAACAUCGACGCUGCCCCUCAGUGAUCUUGGGGCUCGGGCUAGUUUCAAACAGGG
This is a small nucleolar RNA of Echinops telfairi (small Madagascar hedgehog), 118 nucleotides long. NCBI's taxonomy places the organism in Eukaryota, Metazoa, Chordata, Mammalia, Afrosoricida, Tenrecidae. The record is from Ensembl.